AUUGAACGCUGGCGGCAUGCCUUACACAUGCAAGUCGAACGGCAGCACGGGUGCUUGCACCUGGUGGCGAGUGGCGAACGGGUGAGUAAUACAUCGGAACAUGUCCUGUAGUGGGGGAUAGCCCGGCGAAAGCCGGAUUAAUACCGCAUACGAUCCACGGAUGAAAGCGGGGGACCUUCGGGCCUCGCGCUAUAGGGUUGGCCGGUGGCUGAUUAGCUAGUUGGUGGGGUAAAGGCCUACCAAGGCGACGAUCAGUAGCUGGUCUGAGAGGACGACCAGCCACACUGGGACUGAGACACGGCCCAGACUCCUACGGGAGGCAGCAGUGGGGAAUUUUGGACAAUGGGCGAAAGCCUGAUCCAGCAAUGCCGCGUGUGUGAAGAAGGCCUUCGGGUUGUAAAGCACUUUUGUCCGGAAAGAAAUCCUUGACUCUAAUACAGUCGGGGGAUGACGUUACCGGAAGAAUAAGCACCGGCUAACUACGUG
This 486-nucleotide ribosomal RNA is filed under the name uncultured bacterium. Its description in RNAcentral is "partial 16S ribosomal RNA". It matches the Rfam family "Bacterial small subunit ribosomal RNA", at positions 30 to 507 of the family's 1533-position model. The record is from RNAcentral.